CUAUCAACAUGCGUCCCUCUGAAAUGAAGCCCACAGAAGCAUGACGCUGCUUUCUGUUUGUGUCUCUGUAUCCUCAGAGUCCAGAGGUCAGGUCACAGUGACUCAGCCUGGAGCAGUGAGCUCUGCUCUGGGAGGCUCUGUCACCAUCAGCUGUAAGACCAGUCAGAGGGUCAAAGAUGGAGAUGAACAAUACUGGUACCAACAGAAAGAUGGACAACCUCCUAAACAGCUCACCAGCUAUGGUAAUCGCAAAGUGUCAGGAAUCCCAGAUCGAUUUUCAUUCAGCGGAUCAAACACUGACUUCACUCUGAGCAUCAGUGGAGUUCAGGCUGAAGAUGCUGCAGUUUAUCACUGCAAAGGUCGAUUCAACAUCAACAGUCAAUAUUCGUUCACACAGUGAAAAAGCGUCGUACAAAAACCUCCUCAGUCAGACUGAACAGAAACUGAGUUGACUCACUUCACUGAACACACACACACACACACACACACACACACACACACAUUUUUGUAUACGUAUUUUCUACGUCUGUCAUCUGAACCAUCACAACUACACAACAAAACCCAACUCUAACACUAUCACAACCUUAACUGUGUUCUAACCUGAACCCACAAAGCCAAGUGUUGAUGAAAACUUAACAGCUACAAGACUGAAGCAAUGAAAUGUUGAGAAUACACAAGUCAGUGAAAUAAAUAAAAACAAGACAUUUAAAAGAAAACCAAUGAUGAAG
Molecule: non-coding RNA, 728 nt
Organism: Stegastes partitus (bicolor damselfish)
Lineage: Eukaryota; Metazoa; Chordata; Actinopteri; Pomacentridae
Source: the annotation of a RefSeq genome assembly